GACAAUGAGUAAUGAGAAAAUUUACAAAUACCUAGAUAUCUAAUAUAUCACCUACAACAAUGUUUAUGUUAGAGAAAAAUAAAGAAGCAGUAAUGUCUUGUCAACUAAUUUGGAAUGGGGAAUAUGAUUUUAAGGUUGUUAAGGGGGAUUAUGACCAUAAUGUUGACUUUAAAAAGAGACAUGCACUUAUUAAUGGUGGCAGCUCAAGAGAACUCCAUGUCCACAUGUUAUAUGUUGCAUGUAUUAUAAAAAUUUGCAGCCUGUCAGAGGCUUCAAGCUUUGGGAUGAGACUAAUUCACCGCUAAUAGAUGUGAUCACCAAGAAACCAAGAAGACCAAAGAAAGUAAGAAGGAAGGCAAGAGAUGAGCAAAAAAAUUUAGAAAACUCUCAAGACAAGGCGUCAAGAUGAUAUGCUCCAUCUGCAAGUCUAAAGGCCAUAACAAGGUUGGUUGUCCACAAAAGGGCCAUACAUAAGGUGGAGGGGAUGGAAGUGGUAGGGGCAGAGGUGGAGGGACUAUAGGUGGUAGGGGCAGAGGUAGUGUUGGGAGAAGUGGAGGCAGAGCUACUAUUGGGAGAGGUGUUACACCUCCAAGUACUUCACAUAAUUCCUUUGUUACUAGUUUAAGGAGUUGUGGCAAUCUUGCUGGCAGUUGUGAUACAACAGCCGAAGCUCCUUCACAGUCAUCUCAUACAAGGGCUACCGAUAACAGACUUGAUGAAAUACCUCUACAAAGGCCUAUAGGAAAACUAAUGAUUGGUAUAUGAGUUUAUAUUAAUGAGAAAACAGGUCUAAUUAUUGAGAAGUUUAGGGGUCCUGGUGGAAGGAUUAUUACAAGACCAAAUGAGCUAAAAAGAUCAGGUGAAAUUACUGGUGAUUUAGGCUACAAGCCUAUUGAAAUAAAAUGGAAAAGUAAAGCAACAAUUACUAGAAGAUAGUUACAACAUCAAAGAGAUUUAUAAAGAAUGGCAAUGAGAAGAACAAUAGCAACUACGAAGUACUUCUUCUCAACAAAUAAACAACUCAACAACUUCACAAUAAGAGCAUUAGACCAUAUGGCAAUUGGUUCUGCCCAUUUUGGUUUAUAUUUGGAUGUAAUCUUAGUUGCAAUUGCUCAGUAAAUGUGAACUUAAUUUACCAAUUUAUAUAUUCUACAUUUUAUAAGACCUUAUUUUACUAGUUUAAUGUAAUUUCAAGUUUCUAUUA
This is a long non-coding RNA of Ricinus communis (castor bean), 1204 nucleotides long. RefSeq lists it as uncharacterized. Lineage: Eukaryota; Viridiplantae; Streptophyta; Magnoliopsida; Malpighiales; Euphorbiaceae. The transcript is spliced from 3 exons. The record is from RefSeq and is a predicted model, not a curated record.